RNAcentral lists this unclassified non-coding RNA (2006 nucleotides) under Leishmania donovani. RNAcentral's name for it is "gene:LdHU3.17.1210(CDS-product:hypothetical_prote in_conserved)". Lineage: Eukaryota; Euglenozoa; Kinetoplastea; Trypanosomatida; Trypanosomatidae. The record is from RNAcentral.
CGCGCGAGCCGCUCCGCGUCCUGGCAGUGCGACGUCGGGUCAGACCUGUGUGUGCAAGGUGUGCAGAGAGCGCGCAAGCCGCUCGUUCUCUUGACGGAGGGAGGGGGUGAGAGGAGGUGAUGGGGAGAGAACGGCCCUCCUCUUGCGGCCGUCCUGGACGAUACGAAAUCGGGCGCACAUCAGUCCCAGCAGCAUCGCUGGUGGUCGGAGACACACGAGAUUUGCGCACGCGCAAAGCAGAACCCAUUUCUCUCUCCUCGCAAGGAGAGCCUGUCACGCAGGCAUGCUGUCGACGACACCCGUGCAUCGCGCCGGCCUCCUCUCCACCUUGAUUGCGAAUGGCGCUCUCCAUGCGGCGCACCUCGCCUCCAUGCAGACCCCUGCCGGGGCCCUAAUCCUCUCUGGAUGCGUCUUCCGUUGCCUUGCGAUGCCCUUUACCAUCUACGGUGACCAAUGCCUGCACCGCGUAGCCUGUGCUCUUCCAGAGCUGCACGAUGCGCACAAGGAGUACCUCGACAUCGUCGACCACCCGCGUGCGAUCGCGUGGGAAAAGCGCGUGGCGGCGCAGAAGCUGAAGAACGACCGUGACCGCAUCUUUCGCAGCUUUCGCACCAACAACGUGAAGAUGACGGCGCCGUACGCGGUCGGCUCGGCGCUGUCUCUGUACUGCCUCGGUGUGCCGGCGCAGCAGAUAGGCACGUUUUUCGUGCAAGAUGCCGGCAUGGCAAUCGUCAGCCCGCUCGCCGUGUCGUGCAUGGCGGGCGGACAGCUCAGCUUGGCAAGCACAGCCACGACCUCCGCUGCCACCCUCUUCACCGUCGACCCGACCCUUGCCCUAGCAGCAGGCUUAACGUGCUUCAACGUGCUUCGGCACCUCAGCCAGCGAGUCGGCUUCAACGAUCGGCUUGAUGGGUGGAUCAAGAAAACGAAGCAGGCGGUGUGCCUUGGCCUGGGACUCGUCGCGGCGAGCUCGCUCUUGGCAGGCCCACUCACGUAUGCGUUGGCGCUGCCAGCCCUUCACUUCUUUCCUCCGUACCUGGCGCCUGUGUGGUUCGGCAUGAGCGCCACUACGGCGCUGAAAACGAUCCUCGUCAACGGCACCGCACCCGGUCAAGCCAUGUUCCGUCUGCCCUCGUACCCGCCACAGCACGGCACCUACGGCGGAGAGAGCACUGCCGCGGGGCACGAGUACCGUCUCGCCUUCACGGGCGUGGACGUGGAGGAAACACGCAGCGUCUGGCAAACGCAGAAGCGUAUUCUGGACUACGAGUGCGAUGUCCGUCUGCAUCGAUUUCUGAAGCAGAUCGGGCUCUUCAGUGAUGUGGACGAGCUCGAGUACGAAGCCGACAAGCUGAAGCGCAAGCGUGCAGUGGCGCGUGAGCGGCGUCUCGCCCACACUGUACCGAACGAGGAUGUGUCUAGCAAGACGCAAGCCCCCAUACGCCGUCGCACGAUGCACGACAGCAGUGGAGAAGCGCCCCAGGAGGCGGAUGAGUACAGCAGCACCUCCCCUCGCGAGAUGGUGGCGGUGCAGAUGGAGCACGCGCAGUUGGAGGAGCUGCGAGGUCGGCAAGCCCGAAAAGCCGCACGUGAGGCCGCGUGGAAGCAGCGUCAUUGAUGCUGCAACGCGGAGCGGUGGUUGUCCUUGUUUCAUUGUUUCGAUAAGGUGGUGAAGCGAGAGCCGAACCAACGUACGCGCCUCUGUGUCUGGCGGAAGAAGUGUCGAUUGUGUUUUUAGGGAUGAGGAGAAUGAUGGGAGGGCGAGCUCGAAGGAGUGUGUGUGUGUGUGUGUGUGUGUGUGUGUGUGUGUGUAUGUGUGUGAGGGUGUUGAUUAGAAAGACCCAUCCGCUCCCUCCUUCGCGCUCGCUCUCCCAUCAUUCUUUCCGCAGCGCUUUCCCCCUCACGGUCUGCCCACCGCUGUCGUUGUCGUCUGUUAUCUCGACUAGGCUGCGAGCUCCCAUUUCUUUUGCUCUGGUGCAUCACACAGGGAGAGAGAGUGGAACUGC